AGGUAGAGAAUACCGAGGCGUUCGGGUGAACUAUGGUUAAGGAACUCGGCAAAAUGCCCCCGUAACUUCGGGAGAAGGGGGGCCACAUCUGGUGAUGAGCUUUGCGCUCUGAGCUGGGGGUGGCCGCAGAGACCAGCGAGAAGCGACUGUUUACUAAAAACACAGGUCCGUGCGAAGCCGUAAGGCGAUGUAUACGGACUGACGCCUGCCCGGUGCUGGAACGUUAAGGGACCGUUAGCUCCAUUUCGGUGGGCAAGCUGAGAACUUAAGCGCCAGUAAACGGCGGUGGUAACUAUAACCAUCCUAAGGUAGCGAAAUUCCUUGUCGGGUAAUUCCGACUGCACGAAUGGCGUAACGACUUC
Molecule: non-coding RNA, 362 nt
Filed under: Streptomyces afghaniensis 772
Lineage: Bacteria; Bacillati; Actinomycetota; Actinomycetes; Kitasatosporales; Streptomycetaceae
Description: Bacterial large subunit ribosomal RNA
Rfam family: Bacterial large subunit ribosomal RNA
Source: Rfam by way of RNAcentral